UGAUCAUCUCCUGCUUCUUUAAUCACAGAUUUUGUACCACUAGCUAGGGUAACAUUAAGGACUUUUGAAGAUAAGCAAGGUGAGAGAAAAGAUGUUUUUUAUCAGAAAUAUGAUCAGAAGAACUUGAAUCAAGAAGCCAAGGUCCAGUAGAUGAAGACUUAAUUAAACAAACAAAGAAAUUAUCGACUUAGAGAACAAAUGUAUUAUAUGAGGAUGAUUA
This 220-nucleotide unclassified non-coding RNA is filed under the name Hevea brasiliensis (rubber tree). The record is from RNAcentral. Lineage: Eukaryota; Viridiplantae; Streptophyta; Magnoliopsida; Malpighiales; Euphorbiaceae.